RNAcentral lists this ribosomal RNA (607 nucleotides) under uncultured bacterium. Its description in RNAcentral is "bacterial SSU rRNA". The stretch from base 1 to 518 matches the Rfam family "Bacterial small subunit ribosomal RNA", at positions 338 to 873 of the family's 1533-position model. The record is from RNAcentral.
CCUACGGGAGGCAGCAGUGGGGAAUAUUGGACAAUGGGCGAAAGCCUGAUCCAGCAAUGCCGCGUGAGUGAUGAAGGCCUUAGGGUUGUAAAGCUCUUUUACCAGGGAUGAUAAUGACAGUACCUGGAGAAUAAGCUCCGGCUAACUCCGUGCCAGCAGCCGCGGUAAUACGGAGGGAGCUAGCGUUAUUCGGAAUUACUGGGCGUAAAGCGUACGUAGGCGGUUAUUCAAGUCAGAGGUGAAAGCCCGGGGCUCAACCCCGGAACUGCCUUUGAAACUAGAUAACUAGAGUCUUGGAGAGGUUAGUGGAAUUCCGAGUGUAGAGGUGAAAUUCGUAGAUAUUCGGAAGAACACCAGUGGCGAAGGCGACUAACUGGACAAGUACUGACGCUGAGGUACGAAAGCGUGGGGAGCAAACAGGAUUAGAUACCCUGGUAGUCCACGCCGUAAACGAUGAUAACUAGCUGUCCGGGCACUUGGUGCCUGGGUGGCGCAGCUACGACAUUAAGUUAUCCGUCCGUCGGGUAGGUACGGUCGCGAAGAAUUAAACUAACAAAGAAGUUAGUACGGCGUGAGACGUGCCGAACGACGACGACGAGGGAGUAGG